AGAGUUUGAUCAUGGCUCAGAUUGAACGCUGGCGGAAUGCUUUACACAUGCAAGUCGAACGGCAGCACAGGAGAGCUUGCUCUCUGGGUGGCGAGUGGCGGACGGGUGAGGAAUACAUCGGAAUCUACCUUUUCGUGGGGGAUAACGUAGGGAAACUUACGCUAAUACCGCAUACGACCUACGGGUGAAAGUGGGGGACCGCAAGGCCUCACGCGAUUAGAUGAGCCGAUGUCCGAUUAGCUAGUUGGCGGGGUAAUGGCCUACCAAGGCGACGAUCAGUAGCGGGUCUGAGAGGAUGAUCCGCCACACUGGGACUGAGACACGGCCCAGACUCCUACGGGAGGCAGCAGUGGGGAAUUUUGGACAAUGGGGGCAACCCUGAUCCAGCCAUUCCGCGUGAGUGAAGAAGGCCUUCGGGUUGUAAAGCUCUUUCAGCUGGAGUGAAACGGUGCGCUCUAACAUAGCGUGCUAAUGACGGUACCAGCAGAAGAAGCACCGGCUAACUACGUGCCAGCAGCCGCGGUAAUACGUAGGGUGCGAGCGUUAAUCGGAAUUACUGGGCGUAAAGCGUGCGCAGGCGGAUUGUUAAGCAAGAUGUGAAAUCCCCGGGCUUAACCUGGGAAUGGCAUUUUGAACUGGCAGUCUAGAGUGCGUCAGAGGGGGGUGGAAUUCCACGUGUAGCAGUGAAAAUGCGUAGAGAUGUGGAGGAACACCGAUGGCGAAGGCAGCCCCCUGGGAUGACACUGACGCUCAUGUACGAAAGCGUGGGUAGCAAACAGGAUUAGAUACCCUGGUAGUCCACGCCCUAAACGAUGUCAACUGGUUGUUGGGGGAGUGAAAUCCCUUAGUAACGAAGCUAACGCGUGAAGUUGACCGCCUGGGGAGUACGGUCGCAAGAUUAAAACUCAAAGGAAUUGACGGGGACCCGCACAAGCGGUGGAUGAUGUGGAUUAAUUCGAUGCAACGCGAAAAACCUUACCUACCCUUGACAUGUCCAGAACCCUGAAGAGAUUUGGGGGUGCCCGAAAGGGAAUUGGAACACAGGUGCUGCAUGGCUGUCGUCAGCUCGUGUCGUGAGAUGUUGGGUUAAGUCCCGCAACGAGCGCAACCCUUAUCAUUAGUUGCUACGCAAGGGCACUCUAAUGAGACUGCCGGUGACAAACCGGAGGAAGGUGGGGAUGACGUCAAGUCCUCAUGGCCCUUAUGGGUAGGGCCUCACACGUCAUACAAUGGUCGGUACAGAGGGUUGCCAAGCCGCGAGGUGGAGCCAAUCCCAGAAAGCCGAUCGUAGUCCGGAUUGUUCUCUGCAACUCGAGAGCAUGAAGUCGGAAUCGCUAGUAAUCGCGGAUCAGCAUGUCGCGGUGAAUACGUUCCCGGGUCUUGUACACACCGCCCGUCACACCAUGGGAGUGGAAUCUGCCAGAAGUAGGUAGCCUAACCGCAAGGGGGGCGCUUACCACGGUGGGUUUCAUGANCUGGGGUGAAGUCGUAANCAAGGAACCAAAGGGCGAAUUCGCGCCCAUC
RNAcentral lists this ribosomal RNA (1524 nucleotides) under uncultured bacterium. Its description in RNAcentral is "bacterial SSU rRNA". It matches the Rfam family "Bacterial small subunit ribosomal RNA". The record is from RNAcentral.